RNAcentral lists this unclassified non-coding RNA (18 nucleotides) under Mus musculus (house mouse). RNAcentral describes it as "oocyte_clustered_small_RNA11370". The record is from RNAcentral. Lineage: Eukaryota; Metazoa; Chordata; Mammalia; Rodentia; Muridae.
AUGUUUGUGCAGAAUAGA